RNAcentral lists this ribosomal RNA (773 nucleotides) under uncultured marine bacterium. RNAcentral's name for it is "bacterial SSU rRNA". It matches the Rfam family "Bacterial small subunit ribosomal RNA", at positions 60 to 877 of the family's 1533-position model. The record is from RNAcentral.
AGUCGAACGAGAUCUUCGGAUCUAGUGGCGCACGGGUGAGUAACGCGUGGGAACCUACCUUUUAGUACGGGACAACGUUUGGAAACGAACGCUAAUACCGUAUACGCCCUCCGGGGGAAAGGUCAGCCGCUAAAAGAGGGGCCCGCGUCUGAUUAGCUUGUUGGUAAGGUAAUGGCUUACCAAGGCUACGAUCAGUAGCUGGUCUGAGAGGAUGAUCAGCCACACUGGGACUGAGACACGGCCCAGACUCCUACGGGAGGCAGCAGUGGGGAAUAUUGGACAAUGGAGGCAACUCUGAUCCAGCAAUGCCGCGUGUGUGAUGAAGGCCCUAGGGUUGUAAAGCACUUUCAACGGUGAAGAUGAUGACGGUAGCCGUAGAAGAAGCCCCGGCUAACUUCGUGCCAGCAGCCGCGGUAAUACGAAGGGGGCGAGCGUUAUUCGGAAUUAUUGGGCGUAAAGGGCUCGCAGGCUGCUUGAACAGUUAGACGUGAAAUCCCCGGGCUCAACCUGGGAACUGCGUUUAAUACUAGCAAGCUAGAGAAAUAGAGAGGAAAAGUGGAACUCCCAGUGUAGAGGUGAAAUUCGUAGAUAUUGGGAAGAAAACCAGUGGCGAAAGCGACUUUCUGGCUAUUUUCUUGACGCUGAGGAGCGAAAGCGUGGGGAGCAAACAGGGAUUAGAUACCCUGGUAGUCCCACGCCGUAAACGAUGUGUGCUAGAUGUUGGAGGGAUACCUUUCAGUGUCGCAGCUAACGCACUAAGCACACCGCCUGGG